Eriocheir sinensis (Chinese mitten crab) is the source of this 2038-nucleotide long non-coding RNA. RefSeq lists it as uncharacterized. The record is from RefSeq and is a predicted model, not a curated record. The transcript has 3 exons. NCBI's taxonomy places the organism in Eukaryota, Metazoa, Arthropoda, Malacostraca, Decapoda, Varunidae.
GUAAACAAACCCAGCGGCUGAAGGAUGGCGGGGAAGGGGACUCCUCUAUUUUUGCCUUUUGUCCUAUCUCCCCGAGGCGAACCCACUCAUCCCUCGGUCCUGGUCUUGGAGUCCUCUUCAUCUUCGUCGUUGAUGGUGGCAGCGCAGCCUUGGACUCGGCACACCCCCACAUCAUCACAGAAGGAGGGACAAACAGGUCCACUCUGGAUGUUGUGUGAGGAGACCCGGGAAGACCCACUCACCACCGCCACAGGAGAGUGACGUCAUACCAUACUACAGUCUUUCAUCAACCAGUAGCUGCAGCGUCAACCUCAAGAGAAGAGAAGGGUUGAGUCAGGUGGUAUUGUUCUCUUUCCUGGUGGUUAUUUUCUUAGUGUUUUUUUCUAUUUUCUGGUGGUUAUUUUCUCUUUUCUGUUUAUUUUUAUCUUUCCUGGUGGUUAUUUUCUUUCCCAGUGUUUUUUCAUCUUUCCUGGUCGUUCUUUUCUCUUUCCUGCUGGUUCUUUUAUUUUUUCUUCCAGAUGGUUUCCUCCCUUCCACCUCCAAACCUGUUGUUAGCAGUCUUUGUGUUUGAGAAUGUGUUGUUGAACUUCUACUAUUAUUACUACUAAACAACAACCACUACCAUUGCCAUUAUUACAGCUUGUGGUUCUGGUAUUUGAGAGUGAAGACAGCCCCUUCCUCAGUGCCUUCAUCCCCACCCUCCCUGGCAGCGACACCUCUCCACUUGCUGCUGUCAUAUGUAGAUGGCAUCCGCAGAUUGGGACAUCUAUCGUUCACACCUGUCGUCUCAUUACAGGUGAGGCUGCAGGUAUGCCUAACACCAUCUAGGGGAGCUUUAUAUGUGCUGAGUCAGGUGUGUUGUGCCUACUGUUAAAUAAACUCUCUACUAAUAUGACUCUCGUAAGUGACGUUGCUCUGCUUAACCCAGUAGGUGCAGGGAUCAUGUUUCUUACAGGCCUGUCUAAGCGAGAAAAAAUCAACACUCAUGCAAACCAUUUCAUAAAGUAUAUCAACGCAUUCGUGAUCAGCUUAUGCAUCAUCUUUUUUUUGGGGGGGGUUUAUAUCACAGCAAAAAUUCAGCCCGUCUCUGCUACCCGGUUUAACUUCUGAUAACGUGUACCUUAAAGCAACAAAGACCUCAGUUUGCUAGAUAAUAUAAUCUUAUAAAGUGUCUUUGCAUAGGAACCAAAUAUAGGUACUUUGGGACAGGUAAAUAAGGUUAGAAAUUUGUGGUAUCAAACACAGUCUCAUUAGUAAUCAUAUAUGCUUAAGAGGAACUGUAAUGACACCUUAAAAAAAUCUAGAUAUGUACACCACAGUGCUGGGAAUCAAACCUUGGCCUUCAGAAUGAGACAGGGCAAAAAAAUCUAGAUAUGUACACCACAGUGCUGGGAAUCAAACCUUGGCCUUCAGAAUGAGACAGGGCAGCAAUCCAACUGCCACAGAUGAUCCAAAACAGUAUGCCACUGCAGGUUGAUUAGAAGCCUUGCCAGGAUGGGCCAGGUCACCUUUCCUUCAUGGGCAGAGUGAGGGGUUGCAGUGGUUCAGUUGGUUUGCAACCCUGAUUUGAAAAUGUAAGGCCAGGGUUCAAAUACAUGUACUUUGUUGUGUACUUAUCAAGAUCUUUCACUCUGUUGUUGCAGUUUUGACAUUGUGUCUGUAGGCAAAUCCUUUUCACCAGAUAGUGUAGCAAGGCAGCAUUAAUGCCAAGCCUGGUGAGCAGUGUCAGGCAGAAGAAAAGUCUCAUGCCCCCCUUGGGUAUGUGUGCUGGGAGAGUCAGUGUGGGGUCAAGAAUGCAGUGCAUAACCAUUUCACAGCCUCCUGGUGUGAACAUGCCUUGACACCAUCCAUGCCUUGACACCAUCACAUAUCAUGGACUCUCCAAACAGUCACAACAGUGAGGAGCUCCUCCUCAGCUGCUAAAUAAGCAGCAGUGUCAGCAAGCCCCACCCAGAGAGCAUGUUAUAUAUAUAUACCCCAGUAGUUAGUCUCAAAAGAAACUCUUGUAGGAGCAAGAGUGAUUUUUCAAAUUUAAAUG